This 418-nucleotide unclassified non-coding RNA is filed under the name Hevea brasiliensis (rubber tree). The record is from RNAcentral. Lineage: Eukaryota; Viridiplantae; Streptophyta; Magnoliopsida; Malpighiales; Euphorbiaceae.
CAGAAGGAGAUCCUGCUCUUAGCGGGACUCGGGGCUUAGCAGAGGACUCUAUAGAUCCUGAGAAGAAAACAUCGGAAUGUGGGAGUGGGAAGGAUAGUUCUGUUUCUGCCAAAGUCAGUGAUGGAACAAACAGUAUUGCCAAGACUAGUGGAAGUGCGAAAAUUAGCGACCGUGUUGAGAUGGUUGAGAGUGGCAAGAGCAGCAUGUGUCGAGGAAGCACUAGCAGCGACAUCAGUGACGAAAGCACCUGUAGCAGCUUUAGUAGUAGUAUCAGUAAGCCUCACAAAGCAAAUGACUUGAGAUGGGAGGCCAUCCAAGCUGUACGUGCAAGGGAUGGGAUAUUGGGAUUAGGUCAUUUUAGACUAUUGAAGAGACUGGGAUGUGGGGAUAUCGGAAGCGUCUACUUGUCGGAGUUGAG